Molecule: small nuclear RNA, 280 nt
Filed under: Propithecus coquereli (Coquerel's sifaka)
Lineage: Eukaryota; Metazoa; Chordata; Mammalia; Primates; Indriidae
Description: 7SK RNA (ENSPCOG00000008796.1)
Rfam family: 7SK RNA
About the family: 7SK was discovered as an abundant small nuclear RNA in the mid-70s but a possible function has only recently been suggested. Two independent studies have found that 7SK RNA binds the CDK9/cyclin T complex (known as elongation factor P-TEFb). P-TEFb activates transcription by phosphorylating the C-terminal domain of RNA polymerase II.
Source: Rfam by way of RNAcentral
GGAUAUGACAGAAAUGUUGUGUUAUUUUCACUGCACUGAGUGACAGGAUGUCUGGUCUCCCUGGCUAGGUGGGUAUCCCCUUUCUCCCUCACUACCCAACAUAUAAUUGACCAACAGGCUGACCUUUCCAUAUGGUGAAAAGUGCUAUUUGGUUGUGGAAAUGAAAGUUGCUGUCCUCUCAUGGCAGAAUUUUCAAACAAGCUUGUAGAGAACAUAAAGAGCAGCUUAAAUAUCCUACAAUCACAGCAUAUGGGAUUUUCACACUGUGAUAUCAUAAGUA